GACCUGAUAGCAUAUUGUGGAGUGCGUCUGUUUUCUAUAGUGAAAUAAGGUGUUUUCAGUGGAAGGUCCCUGUUCGAUUCGGGGUCAGGUCA
This is a non-coding RNA of Mycena vulgaris, 92 nucleotides long. NCBI's taxonomy places the organism in Eukaryota, Fungi, Basidiomycota, Agaricomycetes, Agaricales, Mycenaceae. The record is from the annotation of a GenBank genome assembly.